CNCUGCNAGAUAAGCCAUGCAUGUCUAAGUACAUGCCGUAUUAAGGCGAAACCGCGAAUGGCUCAUUAAAUCAGUUAUGGUUCCUUGGAUCGUACCUUACUACUUGGAUAACUGUGGCAAUUCUAGAGCUAAUACAUGCAGCAGAGCUCCGACCUUCGGGGACGAGCGCUUUUAUUAGACCAAAACCAAUCGGGCCUCGUGUCCGUUCUAUGUGGUGACUCUGUAUAACUUUGGGCUGAUCGCACGGGCUUGUCCCGGCGACGUAUCUUUCAAGUGUCUGCCUUAUCAACUGUCGAUGGUAGGUUACGCGCCUACCAUGGUCGUAACGGGUAACGGGGAAUCAGGGUUCGAUUCCGGAGAGGGAGCCUGAGAAACGGCUACCACAUCCAAGGAAGGCAGCAGGCGCGCAAAUUACCCACUCCCGGCUCGGGGAGGUAGUGACGAAAAAUAACAAUACGGGACUCUUUUGAGACCCCGUAAUUGGAAUGAGUACACUCUAAAUCCUUUAACGAGGAUCCAUUGGAGGGAAAGUCUGGUGCCAGCCGCCGCGGUAACUCCAGCUCCAAUAGCGUAUAUUAAAGUUGUUGCGGUUAAAAAGCUCGUAGUUGGAUCUCAGUUCCAGACGGGUGGUCCGCCUACCGGUGGUUACUGCCUGUUCUGAGCAUUGCCGCCGAGAUUGUCCGAUGAUCUUUACCGGUUGUCGUUCGGUCUCGGCAAUUUUACUUUGAAAAAAUUAGAGUGCUCAAAGCAUGCGUGACGCAUGAAUAAUGGUGCAUGGAAAUAAUGGAAUAGGACCUCGGUUCUAUUUUGUUGGUUUUCGGAACACGAGGUAAUGAUUAAGAGGGACAGACGGGGGCAUUCGUAUUGCGACGCUAGAGGUGAAAUUCUUGGACCGUCGCAAGACGAACUACUGCGAGANUUUUUUUCCCAAAANAA
Molecule: ribosomal RNA, 936 nt
Filed under: Theridion pinastri
Lineage: Eukaryota; Metazoa; Arthropoda; Arachnida; Araneae; Theridiidae
Description: SSU rRNA
Rfam family: Eukaryotic small subunit ribosomal RNA
Source: RNAcentral